UAAUACGUAGGGGGCGAGCGUUGUCCGGAAUCAUUGGGCGUAAAGGGCGUGUAGGCUGUUUUGCAAGUCAGAUGUUAAAUCUAUCGGCUCAACCGGUAACCGCAUCUGAAACUGCAAAACUAGAGAAUGGUAGAGGAAAGCGGAAUUUCAGGUGUAGCGGUGAAAUGCGUAGAUAUCUGAAAGAACACCAGUGGCGAAGGCGGCUUUCUGGGCCAUUUCUGACGCUGAGACGCGAAAGCUAGGGGAGCAAACGGGAUUAGAUACCCCGGUAGUCCUAGCCCUAAACGAUGUUCAUUAGGUGUUAAAGGUGUCGACCCCUUUAGUGCCGUAGCUAACGCGUUAAAUGAACCGCCUGGGAAUUACGAUCGCAAGAUUA
RNAcentral lists this ribosomal RNA (376 nucleotides) under uncultured bacterium. Its description in RNAcentral is "bacterial SSU rRNA". It matches the Rfam family "Bacterial small subunit ribosomal RNA", at positions 521 to 896 of the family's 1533-position model. The record is from RNAcentral.